AUGCUGGGUCAGAGACAGAGCAGCAGAGGUAGAGGGACAAAGGGAGAGGUGAAGAGCAGAACCAGUAGAGGAGAGGGUAGCAGGUGGCGCCAUUCUUCUUUACAGGGACAGAAGCUAAGCUACCCCGGACAGAGCCAGUUUGUUUUGGGACACCAGCUUGUUGCUGAGAGGAUACCUGUCACCUCCAGGGAGGCAGCUCAAGCUGCUGCUCUGCCAAUUUGGAAAGCCUGAAGGCCAGGGACAGACGGUUCCUCCUGCCCUGACAUGACCUCCUGAAGAUCCUGAUAGGUGGGAACCCACGGUUAGGAUCUUAUUUCCUUGUUCUUGGAUUGUGGAAACCCCUCACCAGCAGCCAGAUAUCCAUAGCAGAGAAAAAAGAGACCAAGAGAGAAGCAAAUAGAGCAGAAGAAGCGGGAGAUACAGAUAGACACAGAAGCCCUGAGAUGGAGGAAAACCAAUUCAGAAGAGCCAGAGACAAAGAUUAGAGAGCUAGAGAGAGACAGAGACACAGGAAGGGGAGAGGGGAGACAGGAAAGGCAAAGAGGCA
This 547-nucleotide long non-coding RNA is filed under the name Fukomys damarensis (Damara mole-rat). RNAcentral describes it as "lncRNA (ENSFDAG00000031154.1)". Lineage: Eukaryota; Metazoa; Chordata; Mammalia; Rodentia; Bathyergidae. The record is from RNAcentral.